UUCUUUAUAUAAAGCUUUUUGUGCUUGCCUUGAUAUUUCUCAGGUGUUCAGUCUUCAACACCAGGGACCAGGGUUUGAAACUGGUUUUCAACACCACUGUUAUAAUUUCCGGAGGUAACCCUGAUGUCAUCAUUGAGGCCUGGGAAAUGACCUAAUCAUGGCUGGAAAAAGGAAAUGU
Molecule: long non-coding RNA, 178 nt
Filed under: Ictidomys tridecemlineatus (thirteen-lined ground squirrel)
Lineage: Eukaryota; Metazoa; Chordata; Mammalia; Rodentia; Sciuridae
Description: lncRNA (ENSSTOG00000029595.1)
Source: RNAcentral